ACACGUAAGGGGCAAGCGUUGUUCGGAUUUAUUGGACGUAAAGGGCGUGUAGGCGGUAGUGCAAGUCUGGUGUGAAAUAUCCCGGCUCAACCGGGGAGACGCGCUGGAAACUGUGCUGCUUGAGUUUAGGAGGGGGAGCUGGAAUUCCUGGUGUAGGGGUGAAAUCUGUAGAGAUCAGGAAGAACACCGGAGGCGAAGGCGAGCUCCUGGCCAUAGACUGACGCUGAGGCGCGAAAGCGUGGGGAGCGAACAGGAUUAGAUACCCUGGUAGUCCACGCUGUAAACGAUGUGCACUAGGUGUCAGGACUGAUGAAAGUCUCGGUGCCGUAGCUAACGCGGUAAGUGCACCGCCUGGGGAGUAUGCUCGCAAGGGUGAA
RNAcentral lists this ribosomal RNA (377 nucleotides) under uncultured bacterium. Its description in RNAcentral is "bacterial SSU rRNA". It matches the Rfam family "Bacterial small subunit ribosomal RNA", at positions 523 to 898 of the family's 1533-position model. The record is from RNAcentral.